Ctenocephalides felis (cat flea) is the source of this 195-nucleotide long non-coding RNA. RefSeq lists it as uncharacterized. The record is from RefSeq and is a predicted model, not a curated record. The transcript is spliced from 2 exons. Lineage: Eukaryota; Metazoa; Arthropoda; Insecta; Siphonaptera; Pulicidae.
CAUAUAUGAAUAUCCUGUAUCCUCGCAUUUGAACUGGCGAUAGAAUGAAAUCAGUCAGUGUUAAAAAUGUAUAUGUAAAAGCGACUUUAAGAUGAUGGAGAUUUGUACACUGAACAUAAAACUUCCAAAAUUUGGGGCAGUAUGUCAUAUGUGCAUAAUCUGUAUCCUGGCAUUUGAUGCAAUGAACUGGCAAUA